Molecule: ribosomal RNA, 466 nt
Filed under: uncultured bacterium
Lineage: Bacteria
Description: partial 16S ribosomal RNA
Rfam family: Bacterial small subunit ribosomal RNA
Source: RNAcentral
GAUGAACGCUGGCGGCGUGCUUAACACAUGCAAGUCGAACGGAAAGGCCCAAGCUUGCUUGGGUACUCGAGUGGCGAACGGGUGAGUAACACGUGGGUGAUCUGCCCUGCACUUCGGGAUAAGCCUGGGAAACUGGGUCUAAUACCGGAUAGGACCACAUUUUGGAUGGUGUGGUGGAAAGUUUUUCGGUGUGGAAUGAGCUCGCGGCCUAUCAGCUUGUUGGUGGGGUAAUGGCCUACCAAGGCGUCGACGGGUAGCCGGCCUGAGAGGGUGUACGGCCACAUUGGGACGGAGAUACGGCCCAGACGCCUACGGGAGGCAGCAGUGGGGAAUAUAGCAAAAUGGGGGCAAGCCUGAUGCAGCGAGGCCGCGUGGGGGAUGACGGCCUUCGGGUUGUAAACUCCGUUCGCUAGGGACGAAGCGUUAUGUGACGGUACCUGGAGAAGAAGCACCGGCUAACUACGUG